UUCGUUUUGCAGUCUUGUUUUAGUAUUCAUUCUGUGAGCGGCAAAAAUUGCAGAAUAUUUCUUGUCACAAGGCAUACUUGUGUCUGCAUGUCAAAAUCUCACGUACUAAAAAUACAUUCCGCGUGGGGAAUCCCUCUCCAUCAGCGCCGUCUAGUGGGAUUCUCUUCUUCCGGUCUCUUCCGCCAUAUUCAGGCUUCAGGCAGAACCACCCACACUUGAUUAGG
Haliotis rufescens (red abalone) is the source of this 224-nucleotide long non-coding RNA. RefSeq lists it as uncharacterized. Lineage: Eukaryota; Metazoa; Mollusca; Gastropoda; Lepetellida; Haliotidae. The record is from RefSeq and is a predicted model, not a curated record. The transcript has 2 exons.